RNAcentral lists this small RNA (27 nucleotides) under Arabidopsis thaliana (thale cress). RNAcentral's name for it is "ATSL068760". Lineage: Eukaryota; Viridiplantae; Streptophyta; Magnoliopsida; Brassicales; Brassicaceae. The record is from RNAcentral.
AUGUCUUCUUCUUCUUCUUCUUUGUCG